CACCAGCCAGUCAGGAGUGUGUAUGCAAAUUAACCCAACAAAGCUGGUGGGUUAAUUUGCAUACACAGGUGCCAAUGGCUGGGAGCGG
This 88-nucleotide microRNA precursor is filed under the name Eptesicus fuscus (big brown bat). Its description in RNAcentral is "microRNA efu-mir-9203b precursor". Lineage: Eukaryota; Metazoa; Chordata; Mammalia; Chiroptera; Vespertilionidae. The record is from miRBase by way of RNAcentral.